Chenopodium quinoa (quinoa) is the source of this 3133-nucleotide long non-coding RNA. RefSeq lists it as uncharacterized. The transcript has 4 exons. The record is from RefSeq and is a predicted model, not a curated record. NCBI's taxonomy places the organism in Eukaryota, Viridiplantae, Streptophyta, Magnoliopsida, Caryophyllales, Amaranthaceae.
UGAUUAAUGUGCACGAUCUUAGAGAACUUUAAGAUCCAUCUCCAAGGGGUCAGUAGCUUGAAUUUCAUAAUGUACACCAUCAAGAUCAUGCUUAAAGUUCUAAGGACUUUUUUCUUGUGAAUUAGACUGAUGAUUCUCUUUUUUCGAAUACUUUAUGCUUCUGAUCCUUCACUGUAUUUUGACUAAAUGAACUAAUUUGAUUUUUUGACCAAAUGAACUAAAAAUACAAGAGAAAAGUUGUUAAGUGUCAGAAAAUGAGAAUAAAAGCUAAGGGUUAGAACUCUCAGAAGCGAGAUUUAUUAGUGGCUUGCUGAAUGAGCUAGUCAGAGAUUUAUUUUGCCGUCCUUGUUUCUGUUAUUUUUGAAAUAAAUUAUCUUGCGGUGUUAUAUAUAGUACAAGAUGAAUUAUCGAAGCAAAUGAGCAAGGGAAAUACUUGCUGCCACAACUAAGUCACAAGAUCCACAAUCAUCACAGUCACCAAAUACAACUACAUCUAAGUUGCAUGAUCCACUAUCAUCUAUAAGUGAAUUUGCUUCCAAACCAACCAAAAAACAAGUUGUUCUGUCACCACCAGCUGAGGUUCUUAAGAAUGAUAAGUGGGGGCCAUUUUCUUCACUUGAUACAACUACAAAAUGUGCACAACCACCACCUAACAGACUAGGAUCUAUUUGGAAAAAACCUCCACCUAAUGUACCAAAUUCAAAGAAACUCAACUCCCUUAACAACCACUUCAGCAUCCUCAACCUGGGAAGGGAGGUUCUCAGAACCUUGGUACUAGUGCUGUGAAAACUUCGGCAGCAACUCCUAUUUCUCACCAACCACUUCAGCAUCCUCAACUUGGGAAGGGAGGUUCUAAGAAAACUUCAGCAGCAACUCCACAAUUUAAUCAAACACAUUAAAAAAGUGUUGAAACUUCCAAUGAUAUCCAGAAAAAAACUAAGUCUCUACGACCAAAGUCACUUCCCGAUUGGCCUGUAGACAUAGAUUUUGAUGAUAAGGAGGAGGUUCUGACCAUAGGUAAUCUUUUUACCUUCAUUAUUUUUUUUACUUUAUCAUUGAGAUUCUGUUUGUGGUUACAUAAAAUAGAUGAUUAUUAGUUGCAUGGUGUUAGUUAAAAGCAAAAUUAGUUCUUCAAGAGCCCUAAAUGAUGUUUUCCAAUUAGUAAACUAAUGGUUUUUUAUUUUUAUUGUUUUUAUAGACGCCAAUGGUAAUACUACAUUGGUGAGUGGUAUAAUUCUUCCAUUUGACGUUUGGAGCAAUAGUGACGUCAAGUACUAUGUUGAAUUCAAUGAUAUAUGCCAACCGAUUAGGAAAGGUGGACAUAUAUUUGUAUGAUGGCAAAGAUGGAGACUCAUUGUCCAGUUGGAGAAAAAAAUUGGCAUGCAAUCGACGGCCAUAUAAAAGGAAGGAUAGUUACGGAUAUGAGAAUUGUCUUAUUAAUUAGGACCACUUUGUGAUUCAAUGGUGUGGAAUAUGACAACCAAGCUCUCAAGCGUGCCAAUAAAGCUUGGAGACAGUUCAGAUUCUUUUUAAAAAACCGCAUUACAAGCCAUAUGAGAAAACAGUGGAAGAGAUGUGUAAUCAGGAACUACCACAUGGAAUAAGCAGGAAUAAUUGGGUCAAGUUGGUGAAGUACUGGGAUUAAGAGAAAGCGAAAGAAGAUGAACAUGGAGAAAAAAUGAGCUUAUUAUCUCUUUGGAUAAAAGCUCAUACAGGUAAGGACGGAAGCUUUCUUCCCGACACUGUCACUACAGACUUUGUGAUAUGAUUCCUGACAUAGUCACUGUAGAAAUUAUGAAUUAAUAAAGUUCAUGUCAUUGCUCUUGUUGUUGGUUAUGCUAGAUGGUCUGCUAAAUGUGUGGCUCUGUUUUUAAUCCCCGUGUUCAUUACUUAAACUUGGUACAGGAUGAUGUAAACGCUAAGGUUGAAGAGUUGAGGAUGUUGUAUCCUAAAAAGUCACAACAAGAGCUCGAAGAUGAAGCUUUUCACUAUACCAUGUAUAGCAAUGAGAUUCCGGAUCGUCCUUUAGGUUACGGACUAGGGGUAAAAAAGGGCGACAUUUACGGGGUGCGUGGUUUCUUAAGGAAGAAAGUUUAUGGAAAAGUUCAAAGGAGGAUAAAUUUAAUGGACAAUGUCAAGGAAGAAGUGUCUGCUUUGCACGAAAAAAAUGAUACACUUGAAUAGGAAAAUGAAAAGCUAAAAGAUAAGGUCGAACAAAAUAAUUUACUUCUUAAAACGCUUGUUGGACAGUUUUCUGAUAUUGUGGGUGCAGUUCGUUAGGGGAAUGCUUCUCCGGAUCUUCUUAACAAGACAUCUCAAUUCUUGGGUUUGGCAAACCAACAGAGCUAACUGGACCCCCAUUGUGGCUGAAGUGAAAGCAGUAGCCAUGGCCAUCAGACUGGCCAAGCGUUUUGGGCUAGCUGACAUUGUCAUAGAAUCGGACAGCCAGACUCACAUGGGCAUCAGACUGUCGAAGGCAGUAGACAUGGGCAUCAGACUGUCGAAGGCUGCAGUCUAAUUCACUGAUCCUUUCACAUAUUAUUUACAGCAGCUGGGUUAAUUUGAGUUAUAUAUUGUUUCUAGGAUUUUAAUGUGUUUUAUUCCAACUGGGUUUUCGAAGUUUAGUCAUAAUUGCAUUGACUUUCAGUCAUAAAGUUUAUAAAAAAGCUAAGUUCAUCAGUAUGUCUUUUGUUUUUUUUUUUUUUUUUUUUUUGAAGGAAAAGUUCAUCAUCAGUAUGUUUAAUAUUUAUAUAUAUAUAUAUGUACUAAUUACUUUUUAAUUUUAUCUUGAAGGUUGGAAAAGAUAAUUUGAUGAAUACAGGAGAAUGAAUUAGGGCGGAUAUUUGAGCAUUAAAAAACUAGCGACUACCAAGAUAUCACCCAUCAUCAUCAUCAUCAUCAUCGGUUUAUCAAGUGCAACUAAUUGGUGUUUUUAGUCUUUGUGUUAUUAUUAUUAUUAUUUUUUAUUUGAGGCUAAUUAAAGUUUUUGUUUUUGACGAUUAUGUUGUUGAUGUUUUUUUUUUUUUGUAAUUAUUUUGUUGGAUAGUUUAAUUAACUAUGAACAAAUUACAAUGUUGACCAAUCGCUAGCUAGCUAGCUUUAUCUUUUUAGUAUAUAUAUAUUUAUCAUUAUG